ACUAACAAAUGUUGUUUUGUUGGGUAGUUCAUUGUAAUCCUACAAUAUGAUUUGCCUAACGCAAAUGAACAAGAGAUAGAACUCAAAGAAUGGGUUCUUUGAGAGACAAGAUAAUCAACAAAUAUAACAACCUAGUUCCUACACCACAAGCUCCAAGGUAGUCGAGAAGGAUUUAUAAACCGUCUCAGUUGAAUGGUUUGAACUUUAUGACUAUGUCAUAGAGUUACACCUCUUAAUUCGAAAGAAAUAAGAAUGAAAAUCCUUAUGACUACAUUGAGUGUAUAUACGACAUAUACUCAAGGAAAUGGUAAAGUACCAUUUGACCCGAAAUAGUGAAACCUUUAAUAGCUAAUUGGUAGCUUAAGGUGACUACAAUCAAAGAGAUUGGUUGACUUGGAAGAAACCAUCUUUGACGUAGUCUUGGUUUCAAUUAAUUCAAAGAUUGCUAGCUACAACUAAAUGGUGAUUCAAUGUUUGGACAUAAUAUGGGUUUCCGAAACCAUUAUUAAGAUAGUCUUGAUAAUAUAUGUCUAAAACUAUGAAUCACAAGACAUGUUCCCUAAAACCAAUCAUAUGAUGAUACUUUACGGACAUUUCACAUGUGAAACUAAUAUAGUUUAAUUUAAAGGGCAAAGAUUAUUGUUUGAAGCCGUUUCAUAUAAAUGUUAUACGCUUAAACGAUAAGUCCAAGGAAUAUGUAAUUGGGAGAAUGCGAUCUAAAGAAGUUAGAUUCAUGAGACCAUUCUCUUUCGUAUACAUAUCCUAAACGUUCUGAUUAUAGGAUUGCCAUUGGGCAUUGACAGUCCGUUAAGAUCAGUACGUGCUAUGUCUUCUCUUAGGAAGAGUGACCGGUCUCGAGUCAUUGGUGUGACUGACACCAAGAUAAGUACGUAGGUGCUCAAUAGAGAAUGAGUUCAUUGAAUGCGAUCAACAAGGAGUUCUCAUACUCAUGUCACAUGAGAACUCAUGAUUGGGAUAAUGCAAAGUAGUCCUUUGACCUGAGGCAUCAUAGUUGUCUUGUGGUUAGGUCCUUGAUCUUUGACUAUGUCAAAGUCACUCCAUCCGAGGGUAUCCACGACAUAGUUAGGGUUAAGCCACUUAGCCAUGGAGGUAAGUGAAUGCGCAACAAGGGAUCUCUAACCUUCAAACUGUUUGAGCGAGAAUACUCUAUGAUAUGAUUAAGAAUCUCUAGCCAGAGUAUGAAUGAGAUUUAGGAAGUCGUUCCAAAUCACAUUCAAGGAAAUCAUAUAAGUAAAUGAAUUAGAUUGGAUAGUAGACAUGAAUAAACUAUCAAACCAAGCAAUGUGGUCAAAAGUAUUGUAUUAGAGAAACACCGUAUUGCAUUGUAAUCUUAAGCUGAAUAGGUUCUCCACCUCUUCUGAUUAGCUUAGGUAACCAUGACAUACUGCUAGGUGUCACUCAUGGUUUGUGGAAGCCUUAAACAUGUAUAAUCACUAAAGGGAGAAUUGAAAGUAAGUUUCAAUUUACAAUCGAUUUGAAAGAGUUCUAAUCGCCCACUGCCUCGCUAAAAGGAACCUAAUGGAUUGCACACCGCGUAAGGUAAUGCUUGAAGGAUUUGAAGGAGAUGAGUAAGGACAAUUAAAUGGUUUAAUUGUUUAUGGCAAGAAUGAAUUAAUAUGUUAAUUAAUCAAACGAACAAGUUCGUUUUAAACCUUGAGAAAGUUUUGGGCCUUAAAGCCCAAAUUGGGCUUCGAAUCGUCAAGCCCAUUAGCUUAAGUUGUAUGACAACUUAACAAACAAAAUUCAAGAAGCCCAAAACAGCCCAAAGGCUUAGGAAAACCGGCCAUAUAGAGAGGGGUAGUGAACUUGGCUUAAUUGCAAGUUUGCCACUCCAUUGUGAGGUGGUAUAAAGGCAACUUUAUAGCCAUUUCAUCCUUAGGGUUUCUUUGAAGAAAAGAUGAGAACACAAGCUCCCUUUUCUUUCUAAGAGGCCGGCCACCCUAGAGGAUUUUAGCUAGCAAUCUUACUUCCUCUAGGUCACUCAUCUCUUCUUCAAGUCCUACCUUGGUGUGGAGACUUAGAGGUUCUCAACUUUGGGAACUUGGAGAAUCCUUUCAACCAUCCUCAUCCAAGAAAUCCAUGGAGCUAAGAAGCAAGGAAUGAAGGCCCUCUCCUUGGGUGAUUAGCCCUUGCUUAUGCAAAGAGGAAUCAACAAAGGUAUAAAAUUUCUCAACUCACUUUGUUCUUGAGUUGAGUCUUGGUUCACAUAGCUACUAGGCUUUGAAUUUAUGGGUAAUGUUUUGUUUUGAGUGCAUACAAGCGUGAUUCCGCCUUUAAUUGUUAAUUGCAUGCCAUAGAUGUUGCUUAAAUGAACAUGUUUUUCACAAAAUUUCCUUCAAUAUGAUUGUUUAAUUUAAAUAACAAAGAGUUUUAACUAGAGUCCACUCAAAGGCAAUUUAACCGAAGUACCGCAUUGGGCCUCAUUAUAUUAAAUGAUGAAAGCUUUUGUGGGAAAAAAGUUUCAUAUUAUAAAAGGAGCCCUACUUAUAAAGACAAAAAUAUAUACCGUAUUUCACACAACUCCACACCUUAUAAAACAUUACAAGGAGUGACAAAAAACUUAAUAACAGAAAACAAAGCCCAACCCAAAAAGAAACGGGCCGACUAAAUUACGGUUCAUGCCAUUCGACUAUAACCGUUAAUAGACGGCUACGUCAACCACUACAUGACCAAAAAUCAUAAAAAUUACCUGGUUCCUUUCCCUUUUCCAUUCAAUACCCUCGUUACUCUUCCCCAAACCUUUAUCAUUUCAAAAAUCCUAUCACGCAAAAGAUACUUCCCCAAAAACCCUAAAAUCUCCAUAGUUUUCAAUACUUUCAAGCCGGAUUUUUAGUAAAGUGAUUCACAAGUUCAGCCGGAUUCCCAGAAAAGAUCAGUGUUUCAAAGGUUUUCCUACUACCCAAAAUCGUCCUUUUUGCAUGAUUAUAUUUUGAACUCUGUUAAAUACGAAUGCAUUAUCAAAGUUUUGGAUGCAUUAUCAAGUGUUUUUGCUCUUGUUUGUGCAAGAGAAAACUAUAAAAAAUGCAAGCAUUAUCAAGUGUUUUUUGCACUUGAAUUUACCAAAAACUCAGUGUUCUAGUUCGUGAAAAAACAAUUUUAGUGUUUUAGAUGUUUCAUUUCGCUAUUUUUAGUUUAUAUGUAUACUGAUUCUGCAUUUUGUACUGAUGAUCACUUGUAAAAAAUGCAUGCAUUAUCAAGUGUUUGCUGCACCUUGUACUGAUGAUGCACUUUGAAUUGAUGUUGUACUUUGUACUGAUGCUGCACUUUAUAAAUUAAUUCUGGUUGUACUUUUUGUUUCUAAAUUGAUUCUUAAACAUCUCAAAAGGAAAAUGAAUAUGCUUCUAAAUUUUGUAAGUAAAAACAUUAACCAUCUAGCUUCGAUGCUGCACUUUGAACUGAUGCUUGACUUUGAACCGAUGCUGCACUUUGUACUGAUGCUGCACUUUGUAAAUUAAUUAUGGUUCUACUUUCUGUUUGUAAAUUGGUUUUGCACAAUUAUGCAUCUACAUUGUGUGUUAACAACCAAUUCUACAUCUACCUUGUUUGCUAAGUGGUGGUGCAUCUACUUGUGCGCUACAUGAUGAUGCAUCUACUUGUUUGCUAAGUGAUUAUGCAUAUAGCUUGCACGCUAAGUGAUGCUACAUAUAGCUUGUGUGCUUAGUGAUGCUGCAUCUAGCUUGUGUGCUUAGUGAUGCUGCAUCUAGCUUGUGUGCUAAGCAUUUGCCCUUUGCAUCUAGUUUGUACUGAUGCUGCACUUGUAACCAAUGCAUGUAUUAUCAAGUGUUUGGUGCACUUGGUAAAUUAAUUCUGGUUGUACAUUUUGUUUGUAAAUUAAUUCUUGUGUGCUAAGCAUCUGCCCUUUGCAUCUAGUUUGUCAUUUAUAUGACUUCAUAUUAUUUGAUAAUUUAUUAUACUCAUGAUUGUUUCAUUUUUUAUGAAGAUGACGACAAAUGCAAAAAACCUUGCUGUUAAUGCACAAAAUCAGUGAGGACUUUGGUACAAUAGAAAGUGUUAAGUUUGUGACCUUCGCUAGAUUGCUCCAGUCACUAGUGUGGAUAAGUAUGCAAAUGGAUAGAGACAGGGAAGCAAACACAAGAUGUACGUGGUUCACCUAGAUUGGCUACGUCCAUGGAGUAGAGGAGUUCUCAUUAAU
Molecule: long non-coding RNA, 4174 nt
Filed under: Malus domestica (apple)
Lineage: Eukaryota; Viridiplantae; Streptophyta; Magnoliopsida; Rosales; Rosaceae
Description: long non-coding RNA (MDOM_LNC014161)
Source: RNAcentral